RNAcentral lists this long non-coding RNA (902 nucleotides) under Olea europaea subsp. europaea. The record is from RNAcentral. Lineage: Eukaryota; Viridiplantae; Streptophyta; Magnoliopsida; Lamiales; Oleaceae.
GACGACAUAAGAACAAAAUUAAAAUAUAAACAUGAACCUAAAAUAAUAGUAUUAAAUAUAGAACAUUAAAUAAUCAGAUUAGAAAAUACAAUAGAAACAGUGAGAUAAUCCAAAAUCAGCAUCAUCCAUUGGAGUUGGUAUUUGUGGGGUCAAGAAUUUCAAAACCAAUUUGCUGCUUCGAAGGCACAAAUUGCAGAAACCCAAAAAAAUGCUUGCGUGAAGCCAAGGAUAAGACUAAAAUCUAGAUUCAAGAUUCAAACUUCAAGUAAUAGACAGUUAAUCUCUGUGUCUGUGUGCAAAUUUCAAAUCAAAGUCAAAGCCUAGCCACUAUUGAUCUUUGCCAAACACCCAGUGGCUACGAGCUCACUCUAUAAAUGCCACGGCCUCAUCUUUCUCUUCAUCAUCUUCUCUGUGUAAAUUCUCUCUCAAACGGUCACGUAGUGAAUUGGACUUUCCUGCGCGAUCACUUGCAGGUACCCAAAAAAAAAAAAAGUUCCAUAUGGAUGAUCCUCUCUUCCUCUUCUUUCUUCCUGUGCGUCCUCUUCCUCUGAUGAUCGGUAAAUCCAACUAGGACAGCUACAUUCUACUCUGCAACAUUCCAACGGUUACGGUGAAUACAGCUAAGGCGGCUGUCGGUGAAUAUAGGGCAAUCGUCCUAACUCGCCACCACCUAAAUCCGCCACUGGCUGAUGGAAAAGAAAAAGUUGGUCGUUCUUUCUUGUAUUUAGUUCUCAAAUUAACAAAUUAAGUAACUUAGUAUAAAAUUGAGCAGAAUUUAGCAUCUAAAUUCUUUAUUUUGCUUUGAUGGGUUCAUGACAGAACUAGAGAAAUAGAAUAAAAGGGGCUAAAUUAACAAUUUACGUAAUCAUGAUAAUAGUACAUUUGACUUCAAUAAAUUGAAC